Molecule: transfer RNA, 75 nt
Filed under: Nocardia macrotermitis
Lineage: Bacteria; Bacillati; Actinomycetota; Actinomycetes; Mycobacteriales; Nocardiaceae
Description: tRNA-His
Rfam family: tRNA
About the family: Transfer RNA (tRNA) molecules are approximately 80 nucleotides in length.
Source: RNAcentral
CUGGGUGGAGCCGAAGAGGACGAGGCAUCAGUUUGUGGUACUGAUUUCAGCGGGUUCGAGUCCCGUCACCCAGCC